UGGGGAAUAUUGGACAAUGGGCGCAAGCCUGAUCCAGCAAUGCCGCGUGGAUGAAGAAGGUCUUCGGAUUGUAAAGUCCUUUCGGCGGGGACGAUGAUGACGGUACCCGCAGAAGAAGCCCCGGCUAACUUCGUGCCAGCAGCCGCGGUAAUACGAAGGGGGCUAGCGUUGCUCGGAAUGACUGGGCGUAAAGGGCGCGUAGGCGGCCAUUUUUGUUAGACGUGAAAUUCCUGGGCUCAACCUGGGGACUGCGUUUAAGACGGGAUGGCUGGAGUGUGGAAGAGGGUCGUGGAAUUCCCAGUGUAGAGGUGAAAUUCGUAGAUAUUGGGAAGAACACCGGUGGCGAAGGCGGCGACCUGGUCCAUUACUGACGCUGAGGCGCGAAAGCGUGGGGAGCAAACAGGAUUAGAUACCCCCGUAGUCC
This 424-nucleotide ribosomal RNA is filed under the name uncultured bacterium. RNAcentral describes it as "bacterial SSU rRNA". It matches the Rfam family "Bacterial small subunit ribosomal RNA", at positions 355 to 796 of the family's 1533-position model. The record is from RNAcentral.